AUGGGGCAGACCCACAGCCAAGCCAAGCCCAAACCGGAGGACAGGCACGCGACUCCACAGCCGCGCGCCGACGACCACCACCAGGAGCACCCAGAAGCCGCCACCGGGAGGCGCCCGCCGGCCGCGCCGGCCAUGGACACCUUCUUCCUGUCGCACGGCUCGCCGACGCUCUCCAUCGACGAGGCGAUCCCGGCGCGGAGCUUCUUCCAGUCGUGGCUGCCCGCGGCCGUCGCGGGCUCGGAGCGGCCGCGCGCCAUCCUGAUCGUGUCCGCCCACUGGGAGACGGCCACGCCGGCCGUCAUCGUCGUCCGCGGCGCCAACGACACCAUCCACGACUUCUACGGCUUCCCCAAGUCCAUGUACCAGCUCAAGUACCCUGCGCCGGGCGCCCCUGAUCUGGCCAAGCGGACCAAGGAGCUCCUGGAGCAAGGCGGGUUCGGGCCGGUGAAGGAGGACCGGAGCCGCGGGCUGGACCACGGCGCGUGGGUGCCGCUGAUGCUCAUGUACCCGGACGCCGACAUCCCGGUGUGCCAGCUCUCGGUGCAGCCCGACCGCGACGCCGCCUACCACUACAACCUCGGCAGGGCGCUGGCGCCGCUCAGGGAGGAGGGCGUCCUCGUCCUCGGCUCCGGCAGCGCCACCCACAACCUCCGCAAGAUGGGGCCUUCCGGCUCGCCGCCGCCGCAGUGGGCCUCCGACUUCGACACCUGGCUCAAGGACUCGCUUCUCGGCGGCAGGUACGACGACGUGAACCGGUACGAGGAGAAGGCGCCGAACGCCAAGACGGCUCACCCGCGGCCGGAGCACCUCUACCCGCUGCACGUCGCGCUCGGCGCCGCCGGCGACGAGUCCAAGGCGGAGCUGAUCCACAGUAGCUGGACAAACGCCUCCCUCUCGUACGCCUCGUAUCGUUUCACCGCCAAGAACUGA
This 930-nucleotide ribosomal RNA is filed under the name Triticum aestivum (bread wheat). RNAcentral describes it as "partial small subunit ribosomal RNA". The record is from RNAcentral. Lineage: Eukaryota; Viridiplantae; Streptophyta; Magnoliopsida; Poales; Poaceae.